UGAAUUAUUCACCCGUGUCUUUUGCGUACUUCUUGUUUCCUGGGUGGGCUCGCCCGCCAUCAGGACCAACCACAAACCUUUUGCAAUAGCAAUCAGCGUCAGUAACAACGUAAUUAAUUACAACUUUCAACAACGGAUCUCUUGGUUCUGGCAUCGAUGAAGAACGCAGCGAAAUGCGAUACGUAGUGUGAAUUGCAGAAUUCAGUGAAUCAUCGAAUCUUUGAACGCACAUUGCGCCCUUUGGUAUUCCAAAGGGCAUGCCUGUUCGAGCGUCAUUUGUACCCUCAAGCUUUGCUUGGUGUUGGGCGUCUUUUGUCUCCAGUUCGCUGGAGACUCGCCUUAAAGUCAUUGGCAGCCGGCCUACUGGUUUCGGAGCGCAGCACAAGUCGCGCUCUUUGCCAGCCAAGGUCAGCGUCCAGCAAGCCUUUUUUUCAACCUUUGACCUCGGAUCAGGUAGGGAUACCCGCUGAACUUAAGCAU
This 480-nucleotide ribosomal RNA is filed under the name Alternaria oregonensis. RNAcentral describes it as "eukaryotic LSU rRNA". The stretch from base 122 to 275 matches the Rfam family "5.8S ribosomal RNA". Lineage: Eukaryota; Fungi; Ascomycota; Dothideomycetes; Pleosporales; Pleosporaceae. The record is from RNAcentral.